This 572-nucleotide long non-coding RNA is filed under the name Phoenix dactylifera (date palm). RNAcentral describes it as "long non-coding RNA (PDAC_LNC019898)". Lineage: Eukaryota; Viridiplantae; Streptophyta; Magnoliopsida; Arecales; Arecaceae. The record is from RNAcentral.
AAUCAAUAAAAAGAUAAACUCUUAAAAACACACACAAAUUUGUUCUAAGUGGAUUCGGUACCUCGAGGCUCAUUAUCUCUCUUUUGGGGCUCCUAAUGGAGUAAUCUCCAGAAUCUAUUCAAGGGAUAUUCGGAGAUUAGCUGAAUCCUACUCAAGAACAAAUUGACAGAUUUUCCCUCUAAAAAGAUAAAAUUCAGUUCAAAAACUUCAAAGAUUUAAAAGGAAAUUCAGAGAAUCAAAACAUAGUUGAAUGCAUAUGUUGAGGGAGAGAAUCUGAAUUUUAAUCAAGCUAAAUCAUUAAUGACAUAUAAGCCGAACAAUUGAUUGCAUAAUAUGAAGGCUUAUAUAAUUCCAAAUGAAAGGGGGAGCUUUAACUCCGAAAUUUAAUGUUUCACUCCUUUCAAGCUUGGAUAAAUUGAAUUACCAGACAUUUGAAUUCAUUUAUGGAUUUUUAUUUCAUUAUUUAUUGAGUCAAUUCACUUUACAUAUACUCAAAAUUUUGUCAUCAUCAAAAAGGGGGAGAUUGUGGAGUGAUUGAUUAAAACCCCAUUUGAUUUUGAUGAGCUCAAAGC